AAGUGGGAACACCUGGCCCCGCCUUUAUUUUGAAAGGGUAAUUGUGUAUAUAAGCUCCAGGUCAGUGGGUGCACUUCCUGCUUGCUUCUUCCUACUUCCUGCUGGCUGCUUCCUGCUCUGAGCUCUCAGCUGUUGCUGCUGCUGUGGCCACACCAGGACGCCUAAAACACCUUCUUGAGACAUAUUUGGAAACCUCAAAAUUUCCAUUUCAUUAAACCCAAAGAGACCUGCUCAUCGGUCAGGUUUUUGUUAUGUAUGCUUUGAUCUACAACUUGAUGGCGAGCUACCCAAAUCUGAGAUCCUGAUACUUCCACCCUCAAUAACAACUCCUCAGCUGCAGCAAACCUCAACUACAUCCCAACCAAUAGACUUUUGGAAACCACUCAAUAGGACUCAGACCCAUAUCCCGGUUCCUUUUGUUGUUGUUUUUUUUUGUAUUGUUUAAAUGUCUAUUUUCUGUUAAUACAAUCGAUUUCAUUUUACUUUCAUCGCUGUCUUGUUUUCAUUUACAUACCUUGGGCUCCCUGAGACGAAUCCUGAUUAUUGCGUCUAGUCCCAUAAUCUGAGAAGCGUUACACUUGGCGAGCUAGCUAGGAGCCCUGGUGUGUAAAUGUUUUUCCUUUUAGUUUGUGUUAAUUGAAAAAAA
Oryzias latipes (Japanese medaka) is the source of this 646-nucleotide non-coding RNA. Lineage: Eukaryota; Metazoa; Chordata; Actinopteri; Beloniformes; Adrianichthyidae. The record is from RefSeq and is a predicted model, not a curated record.